UUAAUUGAAACCAAAAAGAGGUUUAUCACUGUUAAUGAUACAUAAUGGAUGUUCCCAAUUAAA
Molecule: transfer RNA, 63 nt
Filed under: Arescus labiatus
Lineage: Eukaryota; Metazoa; Arthropoda; Insecta; Coleoptera; Chrysomelidae
Description: tRNA-Asn
Source: RNAcentral